CGAAAAGAGGGAAAGAGCUUGCUCUUUCCGGAAUUGAGUGGCAAACGGGUGAGUAACACGUAAACAACCUGCCUUCAGGAUGGGGACAACAGACGGAAACGACUGCUAAUACCGAAUAAGUUCCAAGAGCCGCAUGGCCCAUGGAAGAAAAGGUGGCCUCUACCUGUAAGCUAUCGCCUGAAGAGGGGUUUGCGUCUGAUUAGCUGGUUGGAGGGGUAACGGCCCACCAAGGCGACGAUCAGUAGCCGGUCUGAGAGGAUGAACGGCCACACUGGAACUGAGACACGGUCCAGACUCCUACGGGAGGCAGCAGUGGGGAAUCUUCCGCAAUGGGCGAAAGCCUGACGGAGCAACGCCGCGUGAGUGAUGACGGCCUUCGGGUUGUAAAACUCUGUGAUCCGGGACGAAAAGGCAGAGUGCGAAGAACAAACUGCAUUGACGGUACCGGAAAAGCAAGCCACGGCUAACUACGUGCCAGCAGCCGCGGUAAUACGUAGGUGGCAAGCGUUGUCCGGAAUUAUUGGGCGUAAAGCGCGCGCAGGCGGCUUCCCAAGUCCCUCUUAAAAGUGCGGGGCUUAACCCCGUGAUGGGAAGGAAACUGGGAAGCUGGAGUAUCGGAGAGGAAAGUGGAAUUCCUAGUGUAGCGGUGAAAUGCGUAGAGAUUAGGAAGAACACCGGUGGCGAAGGCGACUUUCUGGACGAAAACUGACGCUGAGGCGCGAAGCGUGGGGAGCAAACAGG
RNAcentral lists this ribosomal RNA (741 nucleotides) under uncultured Peptococcaceae bacterium. RNAcentral's name for it is "bacterial SSU rRNA". It matches the Rfam family "Bacterial small subunit ribosomal RNA", at positions 67 to 776 of the family's 1533-position model. The record is from RNAcentral. Lineage: Bacteria; Bacillati; Bacillota; Clostridia; Eubacteriales; Peptococcaceae.